CCUCUUGUCUUUAAAUAGCUCGUAGUUUUUCGGGCGCAAAUUGGAUUUGUUACGAAUUAUAGAAGAGAUAUGUACAUCAUCUUUUUUAUCUGUGUGCUUUCACGCAAAGAAUAUUAAAGUUCAACGAUUGUAGCGAUAUUAUAGUGAACACGCUCUCUUUAUAAUGAUUGAUUACGUUUCAUGGAAGUUUCUCCGUCUCCAGAGGAUGUUUUCGUUAACUUGAACUGUCAAGUAUUAUAUACUUAAAUGAGUAAAAACUCAAGCAGAGAACCUAGAUUUUAGUUCUCCUUGUAGUGCAUCGUAGCCGUCAGAUUUACGAUACCUCGACGUGCGUGACGUUGACCAGGUUUAAUGUUGGCGAGACAUCUUAUUACCGAAGAACAAUUCAAAAUGCGCCAUGAUUUAUAAACUUUGUAUCUACACGAUUCGAGUUGCGCGAUGUCCGGCCUGAAUUAUCUAACAAGUUAACUUGUAAAAUGUACAAGGUUACUGCACUAGCACAUUGACAAAUUUCGUUAGGCGCUUCAAGCGGCACAACCCACUUGCGUUUGUAAAUUACGCAGUAUUCGUAGCAAGAAUGCCGGACGAGGCUAUAUUAGAAUCGUUAUUAUAACAGUAGAAAUAAUAGAAAUAGCUAAACAUUACUUUUCUCGAUUAUGGAACCUUCAUUAGCAAUUAGUUUUUCACGUUACCCGCCCAAGUUUGUGUCAUUUUAUCAUACGGCAAAAAACAUUAAUUUGAAAAAAGAAUAUAUGCUAUAUAUAAAUGAUACAUUUCCAUGUCACGUGUAACUUAAAGAAAAAGAAGAUUUCGAUGUGGAUCAAGAAAGCACGAUCGAUAAUAAAAACGGAGCGAUCCACGAGCUUGGAAGUGGUGGAAGGCUCGCUACUAGUGCAGAUCGGACUGUACCUCGACUUAGAAGACGUUGAUGAGAUCUAUAUGAAAGAUGGGUCAGGGUCAUGCACAAUGCAACCGUGUACACACAACAGCAAAACUUCCUAAUACCAGAUCGAGGCGCAAACAAGCGACAGCCUUCAUUUCUCCCUCAUUUUCUUAUUUAAACCAAUCAAAACUUAUCUUUAUUAUAUACAUUUUUUUCACAUCUUAUUAAAAUAUUAUUAUGUUAAAAAUACAAUCCCAGCGAUAGAACAAUUUAUAUACGUAAAUAUACAUUUAUUUUUUCACCCUGAUUUAUUUCAAAUAACGUUUUUUUUUUCAAGUUGUAGCACGGACUGUAAAAUCGAAUAAAAUAUUUCCGUUGUAAUUAAUUAAUAAACAAUAUUUGCCAAUACG
Nylanderia fulva is the source of this 1293-nucleotide long non-coding RNA. RefSeq lists it as uncharacterized. The record is from RefSeq and is a predicted model, not a curated record. NCBI's taxonomy places the organism in Eukaryota, Metazoa, Arthropoda, Insecta, Hymenoptera, Formicidae.